RNAcentral lists this small RNA (865 nucleotides) under Pongo abelii (Sumatran orangutan). RNAcentral describes it as "retained intron". The record is from RNAcentral. Lineage: Eukaryota; Metazoa; Chordata; Mammalia; Primates; Hominidae.
CAUCAGGAUCCACAUCCCAAGAAGAAAGUCCUUCCCACUUCGCCGCAGUCCCAGGCGAGCCACUGGGGGAUGAGGCCCAGGGACAGCAGCCCCUCCAGUUGGAGGAGGAUCAGAGGGCGUGGCAGCGGCUGGAGCAGCUCAUCCUGGGACAGCUGGAGGAGCUGAAGCAGCAGCUGGAACAGCAGGAGGAGGAGUUGGGUCGACUGCGCCUGGGCGUGGUGAGGCUGCGGGGGGACCUGGCAGGGCCGGGCAUGGAGGGGGUGCUUCAGGUGAGUGCCGAGGCUUCCUUUCCACCAGGGGGCGACAGACUCAGAGAAAAGGGUUCAGCAUUUGACCCUGGAGAACGAGGCCCUGAAGCAGAGCCUGAGCCUCAUGCGGGACCUCCUGCUGCAUUGGGGCCCCGGGCCCCCCAUCAGGGCUCCGCAGGUACUCUGCUCCCGAGUUGCAGCCAUUCCUGCAGCCUGGGGCUCUUGCACACCUGGCAUGCAGCCACAGGACCCAAGCCUCCUCAGGAUCUCCCGGGAUGGUCUGUGUAGGGCAGCCCCAUCAGGGAGGCUGAUGCCAGUGGGAGGACUCCCCUCUCCGUGGUUCCUCUGAGUGGCUGAUCCCAGGAGAGCAGAGGGACCGUGGGAAGGAGCUCUGCGUGGAGUUGGGAGGCAUGGGUUCACAGCCAGCUCUGCCCACCUCUUGACUUGACUUUCCCAUCUGUGAAAUGGUACCGCAGACCGUCCCUCUCUGAGUCCCUCCUGGCCCCCACCCUCCCGCAGGAGGAGGCGGAGGCAUUGGUAGAGCUCCAGGGCCGGCUUCAGGAGGCCCAGGACACCACAGAAGCCCUCCGAGCCCAGGUGGGCAUGGGGCUCAGGGA